RNAcentral lists this ribosomal RNA (497 nucleotides) under uncultured bacterium. Its description in RNAcentral is "partial 16S ribosomal RNA". It matches the Rfam family "Bacterial small subunit ribosomal RNA", at positions 28 to 507 of the family's 1533-position model. The record is from RNAcentral.
GAUGAACGCUGGCGGCGUGCCUAAUACAUGCAAGUCGAGCGAACAGACGCGGCGCUUGCUCCUCUGACGUUUGCGGCGGACGGGAGAGAAACACGUGUAUCAUCCACUUAUAAUACUGGGAUAACCUCGGGAAACCGGCGCAAAUACCGGAGAAUCUCUCGAACCGCAUGGUUCAUUAGUGAAAGACGGUUUUGCUGUCUCUUAUAGAUGGUUCCCGGCCGGUUUAGCUAGUUGGGAAGGUCAAGGCUUACCAAGGCAACUAUGCGUAACCGACCUGCGAGGGGGAUAGGCGACACUGGAGCGUGGACACGGUCCAUGCGCCUACGGGAGGCAGCAGUAGGGAAUGUUCCGCAACAGUCGGAAGCCUGACGGAGCAACGCCGCGUGAGAGAUGAAGGUCUUCGGAUCGUAAAACUCUGUUAUGAGUUAAGAACAAAUGUGGAAGUAACUGUGCACUGCUUGACGGUACCUAAUCAGAAAGCCACGGCUAACUACGUG